Non-coding RNA from Phrynosoma platyrhinos (Desert horned lizard), 64 nucleotides. The record is from the annotation of a GenBank genome assembly. Lineage: Eukaryota; Metazoa; Chordata; Lepidosauria; Squamata; Phrynosomatidae.
GAUGUGGUGGUUUGAGUAUUGGACUGUGACUCUGGAGACCAGGGUUCGAUUCCCUGCCACAGCC